GUCGGGGUUUCGUACGUAGCAGAGCAG
Molecule: non-coding RNA, 27 nt
Filed under: Gallus gallus (chicken)
Lineage: Eukaryota; Metazoa; Chordata; Aves; Galliformes; Phasianidae
Also listed under: 6 other names
Source: RNAcentral